Molecule: unclassified non-coding RNA, 419 nt
Filed under: Hevea brasiliensis (rubber tree)
Lineage: Eukaryota; Viridiplantae; Streptophyta; Magnoliopsida; Malpighiales; Euphorbiaceae
Source: RNAcentral
GUACAUAACCAUCAAAAAAUCUAUCCAAACUCUCGUUUUCCUUUAUUGGCAUGAUUCCCAUGAAGGAAAUAUCUUUUUAAGUAGACUGGUACCCAUUUUUCACGAUCUUCAUACAAUGAUUGAAGCCAUUUACUGUCCUUGAGUCCAUGCUGACUUAUCAUCUGACCCCAAGAAGUUUCAAAUUCGGUGAUCUUCAAAGAAUUAUAAACUGCUUUAUACAGUUGCAUCUUGAUAGACUCAUAUGACAAACAAUAACAAUGACAAGCUCGAGGGAAAACCUUAGAAACUGCAAUUUGCAAUGAUUUUGACUGAUCCGUUAGAAUAACUUGUGGAUGUCUCCCAAGCAUACAUGUUUGCCAUGAUUUAAACAUCCAAAUAAAGUACUCUGCUGAAUCAUGUCCAAGAAAACCACAUCCCAG